RNAcentral lists this ribosomal RNA (344 nucleotides) under uncultured Verrucomicrobiota bacterium. RNAcentral's name for it is "bacterial SSU rRNA". It matches the Rfam family "Bacterial small subunit ribosomal RNA", at positions 29 to 351 of the family's 1533-position model. The record is from RNAcentral. Lineage: Bacteria; Pseudomonadati; Verrucomicrobiota.
AACGAACGCUGGCGGCGUGGAUAAGACAUGCAAGUCGAACGUUCAUUAUCGGGUAGCAAUAUUCGAUAGUGGGAGUGGCGUAAGGGUGAGUAACACGUGGGUAAUUUGCCGUGAAGCUUGGGAUAACUUGCUGAAAGGCGAGCUAAUACCGAAUGUGGCCAUUUAGCGGCAUCGCUGAAUGGCUAAAGCUGGGGACCGCAAGGCCUAGCGCUUUAUGAUAAGCCCGCGACCUAUCAGCUAGUUGGUGAGGUAACGGCCCACCAAGGCUUAGACGGGUAGCUGGUCUGAGAGGACGACCAGCCACACUGGAACUGAGACACGGUCCAGACACCUACGGGUGGCAG